CCUCUCUUGUCAAGGCACAGCAGGGGCUGUUGCUUGCCUGGGAACCCUGCCAAAGCUGUAACAGCACUCAAUUCACCUAGCAGGGGCCACCUGCUUCAGGGGCAUUGUGGACCAGUCCUCUGGACACUAGUUUUUGGAAGAAGGGACUUGACAGCCCCGGUGAGUGGUGAGAUUGAGUGGCACCAGGUGGACUGCUUGCCUGAGGCCGCUCACCCCAUGCAACUGCAAUUCCCAAGCCUUUUCCCUGGAUGUCAGCCUCUAUCCACAGCGAGGUGUCUCUUGAAAAUGGCUAUAAAACUUCUUGUCAAAUUGGAGUACUUUGGAAUAUUUAGGAAAAGUUGGCAGAGAGGAGACAGGACUAAAGUGCAGCUCCCACUUGGAUGAACUGAACAGUGUGUGGAGACUCACAUUGUGAAUUUUUGCUCCAAGAACUACCUCAGGAACAUACCAGAAAAACCAAAAGAAUUCACAGACCCUUUGAAAAAAGUGGCUUGCCAGUGCAAACUCCAUGAGACAGCUGAAAAACUGUGCUCUCUGUACACAGAGGGUUUUGUCUGUUUGGUCACCGAUAUAUCUUCAGUGCCCAGAACAGUGCAUGGCAAUGGCAGACUCUCAACUGAUGGUUUAAAGAGGUUGUCUUUUCCAAGGCCCAUCACCUGCUUCACAGAAUUUUCAGCUCUUUUGACAAUUUCCAAGACAAGGGAUGAGUUCCAGCCACCAUGUCAUGAGGAGACCCUGGAUACCCCAGCUCAGAGCCUAGAGUGAGUAUUUGCAUUGAAGAGGAAACGUCGUAUAUUUGAAAUGUAAGUUUCAUGAAUAAGAUCUGGGCCCAAAUUGGCUUUAGUCAUUCAAAGACCCAGUCAAACUCAGGAAGUUAAAAAAGUUGAGGUGGCUGGUUUCACCUGGCUCCAGUGUCCAUUCUUCUCACUUUCUCUGCAUGUGUUUGUUACCCUUUCUUCAUCAUCGAUGGAGCUCAAACUCAGUCUCACAUGGGAGCAGCAGCACCAAGAUAAAAUUUGUGUAUCCUACAGGAAUAACACAGCAGGCAAGCCUGCAGGAUAGAGCCAGGUGAGGCAAGUGGUGGUGGAGCUCAGAGUGUCACGUAAUUAAGUGUUGUUGCAAGGACUGGAGGGGAAGAUGGGGUAAUAGAUGUCUGCCUGGAGUGAAGACAUGGCAGGGCCAAGCCUGCCUGCGAUGUGUCCCAAACCUCCAAUGAUCCCCAACCCUGUGCAAUAAAAGCCGGGUAGACCAGGCAACUGACGAAACCCCAGCUCCUGAUGAAAGAGGGAAUUGUUUUCUUCUGCCUUCCUGCUGAGUUGUAGGAUUCGGAACCUUUGUCUUAUCCAGCUUAAAUCCCUGUCACUCCUUAGCAGGGACUCAGGAGGAGGAGUUAUGAGGAAUGUGGUAAAUGAUGAUGCGUAUUCCCUUGUGGGGAAAAGCAGCAAAUGCCACAGUGUCCCUGCCAUGCUCAUGCUCUCCUUAGUUAUGGAAUUGCUGAUUCCUGGGAGUUGAAAGGAUCACCUAGGUUAUUCCCUCUCACUCAGUUGAUGUUGGAAUCCCAGCUACAAGGUGCCUCACAAGAGCCCCUCCCAUCCCAUCCCUCUUUGGAUGUUUCCACUGAUGGCGAGUCUCCAAUCCCUGGAGGCAGCCCAGCCUAAUAAUAAGCCUGCAUCUAUUUAUUUAUUUUUUUGGGUUAUUAGAAAUGUGUGGUAAUGUGGUCUAAAUGAAUAUUGAAUUGAUAGCCAUCUCUUGAAAAAUAGCAGAAUGUCAUGUCCCCAUUAUUUCCUAGGAAUUCUCAGGGAAAAUGUGUGUAUUCUCCACAUUCGUGAAGGUGGCCACUUGUAAUAACCACCUCCAGCUGCCAAGGCUUGAAACAGUAGCUGCUAUAGAGGUCGCAGGACACUUUGCAUUCCCCAACCCUAAGCAACAGCAGGCUGCCGGCUCCCACACUCUCUCCCUCUCCCUUGAUUCAUGAUGAGUUGAGUUAAAAGAGCACCAUCUUCUUCAUGGCACCUAGCAGGGCUGUGGAUGGUCUUAACAUUGACAGGCUGCAACCCAUCCUAGGGAUCCCUGCUUUGCUCCCCUCAUGGGGAUGGAAAGAAUCAACUUUAUCCCUUCAGAGGGAACUAAGGUCUCCUUAUCCAACAAGCCCCCUUCAUGCCAUGGAAGGAGGCUCAGAAUAAUGAAGUUGCACACACGCGCGCACACACACACACACCCCAUUUCAAUAUGAAGCAUUUGGAUUAAUGCACUGCCUUUGGUCAGUUUCCUGAGAAGCCCUCGAGAUGAUAAUUCAAGUGCAAGUGAUUUAUUAGGGGAGAGUUCCCAGGACGGCCUAGCAGAGGAGCUCAGGAAGCAGGAAAGGAAAGGGGAAGACAUCAAGCAAGGUACAAUCUCAGUCAGUCAGUGUGCAGCCUCAGUCUGAUCCCACAGGGAGUCUAUAGAGAGGAAAUUACACCUUAGAGUUCAUUCAGACUCGAGGCAAGGUGGCUAAGGGUUCAUAUUCUUUAUUACAGUCCAUCACUGGCAUGGGCCACUCCAGCAGGUUGCAAACUCGGGUGCUUCCAGCUCUCUGAGCUCCUGGGCAAAGUGGCUCUAGUAGUCCAAGGGCACUGCCUGUUAGAUACAAAGGCACCCAGAAGCCAGGGAAGGGAUACACAGAAAUGUAAAAGGGAUCUGAGAGGAUCUGGCCAGAGCAUCAACAUGUCCACUCAUUCACUUGUGUCAUCCCCAAACAAUGGGUUUUAUUGGCCCAGACGUGAUGUACUUCUAACAUAACUUACUUGGUAUCUGUAUAGUAAGAAACAGUCAACAAUCUUUUAAUAAACUCUGGGGUAGGGUGGGACUGGGAAGGUUCUGCCUCAUGCCACACCCCAGUGCAUAAUCCAGUCUAAGUCCUCCAGUCUAAGUCCACACUGGCUGUUUGGUAUACAUUCACAUUUCGAUGGACACUGUUCAAGUAAAUUCUUGAAGCCACUUUAUAGUGGCUGCUGCAAAGUCUUGUUUGCUGCGCCUCUGUCGGCAUAUGAGCUUGGUCACAUCCCCUCCACUAGAAUUUUCUAUCCAGCUGCCCAUCAAGACUAGUCAAAUCAAUCACCUCCCAAAAGAUGAUAAAGAUUUUUAUAAGCAAGUCUGGAGCACGUCUCUCCGUUCUGCAGAUGAUGGCAUCUCUUGGAAGGUAGAUAUUAUAUGCAAAAUCACCCACAUAAAACUCCUCUGCAAACACAAAUCCAAACCCAAAUAAAGCUGCUCUUACUUCCCUUUACAGUAAACAAUCCAAAAUCUAUAGGACUAUCAAAUCAGGUCUUUAUCUUUGUGGGUGUGCUUGCAUUUAAUUUUCUACUAAUAACUACAAGACCCCUGGUGCUCCAUCAUUUUAUGCCCAGGAACCUAUAACAUGGCAAGGAAAUCUCAAGACAUUGCCAUUUCAAUUUUAUCCAAGUUUUAAUGGCCCAGCAUUAGGUCCUGUUUAUUUUCUCUCGCUUUUUUUCCUCCCUGGAGUAAACAAAAGCAUAUGUUCCUUUCACCUUCUCCCUGUAACACCUAAAAAGGCAGGCAAGAGAAAACCCCAGGGAACAUCACUCUUAAGUCAAACCAGCCCACACAAGUUGGACUCUCAUGUCUGUUUAAAAGAGUUUAUCCUGUUUCCUCUGACACCCCUUCUAAUCUCUGGCACACAGUGGUAGGCAUUCAGUAAGACUGGGCUCCUGGGUCCUUCCUCUUUCCCCUUCAGUAACUCAGGUUCUACCAAAUUUCCUCUUCCACAUUCUCUAUCAGCCCUCGUCUCUUGCCUUCAGAACUUGUUUCUCUGUUUAUCUAUCUGGUUGUCCACUGCUCCCAUGGAGACAAACGAAUGAAUGAGACUAUAUUUUCGAGCACUUACUAUGUACUGGGAACCUUCUACCUAUCACCUUAUUUUAAUCCUCACACAUUCUCCUGUAAAGUAUCAUUAUUUUCCCAUGAAAGCUAAGGUACAGAGAAGGUCAGUGACUUUUCCUAGAUCAAGUAGCCAGGAGAGAAGUAGGAUGUGACAUGGAAACCAAGUUUGGCUGAAUCUAAGUGUAAUAAUUUCUGACCCCUGCAGUUUCCAUUUUCUAGACUAUGCUUUGGGUCUUCAACUUCCACGCCAACACCAGAGGAUAAGUAUUUGAGACCCCCACAUUGGUCAUCCAACUAUGAAAAAAUUCUCAUUUUAAGCAUAUACAGCUUAAAAAAAGAAUCAACUUCAUGUAUUUGGAAAACCGUAAGUGCCAUCUUCCAUCAUUCAAAAAUGUCUGUAACAGACCAGCAUUAUUGACAGUUCUGAGCUAGACCGAAGGAACUCUUUUCUAUGACUUCAACAGAAAUAUUUUGUUAUUACAAUGUUUGCAAACAUUUUUAAGGUAUUGUUCAGUCAAAUGAUAGUCCCUAUAGCUUGCAACUCAAAAUAUCAUGGUGGUGAAAUACUCAUUAGUCACCUGCUAUAACUUCAAUGGAAUGUGCUAGGACACGGAGUUUGUAAAAGCAGAUAUUGUCUUGUUAAGCUGUCAGGUCCCAUAAUGUACAGCCUCACGCAAGGACACUGUCAUCAGGAAAAAGGCUUAGAUUAUGUGCUCCAAGUACACCAAGAAACUGGUUUCUGGAAACCCGACUUUUCAAUGAACGCUUGUUAAAGCAGAGUUAAUGUGUUUCCUACUGUUAUAACAAUGACGUGUGAGUCACAUAUGUGGUUUCGAGAUUCCUAAACUGGAUCUGCCUGGCUGCUGAUGUAAUCAGAAAUAACCUCUGGCUGUUUGAGACUAUAAUAUUCUGGAGGAAAACUGCCCAGCUGAUGCAACUGCUGAUUUUUGUUAACGCUAUCACCAACAUUCCCAGCAUUCAAAAUUCUUUAAGAUAUUAUUAUUCAUUAAUACUUUGUUUUAGAUAUUAUUAUUCAUUAAUACUUUGUUUUCAUUUGGAAAAUUUAUUUACUAUCAAAGCAAAAUAUUUUUGGGAUUCAGCCUGUAAAUUUAUCUUAAUUCUCACUGUCCUCACUGUCUGAAGGUCCUUUGUUAUUGGGGAAAAGAAUGUGGGGUUAGGUGUCAGGCAGAUUUGCACUUGAAUUUCAGCUCUGUCACUUACCUGUGUGAUUUCAGAGAGGUUACUGAACCUCUCUGAGCCUUGAGUUUCUAAUUUGGAAAAACAGGAAAUUAUUCCUAUCUCACAAUGUUCUGAAAAUAAAGUUAGACAUAGAGCAGCAUUUGGAAAAACAAGAGAGUACAACAUAGACAACCAGGUAUUUGGACCUAGGCUUGCCUCUAGGGAGCCUGGCUUGAUGAAUCUGCUGGGUUUUGAGCCCUGUGGGCCCUCCAGCUGGGCUGUCCUCCCCAAGCCCUAAACAAGGGAUUCAUUCAAACUCCCUAGGUCUUCACAGAAAGCAAGAGAAAAAUGAUGAGAGGAGGUUGUUGAGCCAGUUGCUUGCAAGAGCAGUCUUUCCUAUGGGAUGCCAUCAGUCAGUUGUUAAGUUUACAAAGCAGCAGGAAUAUGUAACUGAGAAUUUUGACUUUCAAAAUUUCUAUGAGCAGCCUCUUGGUAUCAGAACAAGAAGAUGGCAGUUGUGAAAGGAAGAAGAUCAUGAAAAUGCUGCAAUUUCAGAGGGGCAGAGAUCAGGGCAGAAAAAGAAAUCAUAAGCUUCCUGACACCUGAGGCUGAUUCGUUAAGCAGGAAAGAGGAGGAUGCUUACAAGGUGUUUCAACCACCAGGGACCCAAAAGGUGGGAGUGUAAAUUAGUUCAACCAUUGUGGAAGACAGUGUGGUGAUUCCUCAAGGAUCUA
RNAcentral lists this long non-coding RNA (5792 nucleotides) under Homo sapiens (human). Its description in RNAcentral is "HSALNT0354376". Lineage: Eukaryota; Metazoa; Chordata; Mammalia; Primates; Hominidae. The record is from RNAcentral.